Monodelphis domestica (gray short-tailed opossum) is the source of this 2295-nucleotide long non-coding RNA. RefSeq lists it as uncharacterized. The record is from RefSeq and is a predicted model, not a curated record. NCBI's taxonomy places the organism in Eukaryota, Metazoa, Chordata, Mammalia, Didelphimorphia, Didelphidae.
UCCUCUCCUCUCCUCCAGUAGCUUGUAAGGAGCCAAUGGUCUUUGUAUCCGCCCUUGCCCAGGGCCACGAACGAUGCCUAGCCAAAGUUUCUAUGAGUUCAUUAAAAGCAUUUCUAAGACUUGCCAAUUUCAUCCGUACUCCUCUGAGUGACGUACAGUCACCGUGUUCUUCAGCCAGGCAAACCAAAGCCGGUGAGAGACCUUCUGCGUGACUAUCAAUCAAGUCUGGACAGCAGGGAUUUGAUCCCAUCCCUGGCUCUUCCAUGUGGUCCCAUGAUACAGCACAUGCCGAUCCCAAUACUCCCUGGUCACCCUCACGUGACAAGUAAGCCAUAGCAUUUGAGAAGCGGCUGAAUCGAGGCAGUCUUCAUACAAUGUCGAGCCUUGGAGUGCCGCAAGAAAUCUUCCCUAUGAAAUGGAUGGCUCCGGUCCAAGGGGCAGGCAAGGGUUCUGGUAAUCUAGGCAAAGCCAGAAGAGAUAUUAAAGAUGACCUAGUCCAAAACCAUCUUCUGAUGAGAACACGAAGCUGAGGCAGUCAACACACACAGGUGAGGAAAUCAGGAUGCAGAGAGUGGAAGAAACUUGCUCAAGGUUCCCUUCCUUGAGCAACAGAACUGAACUGAGGAUCCAGGCCUCUUGAUUUCCAGUUCAGAGCUGGUUCCAGUAAAGAAUCUGAAUUCUAUUUCGGCACCCUCCACAAGCCUAAUUUUAAAAACACUGCUCUAUGUGACCUCCCCCUCACCAAAAUGCUACAAAUGUACAAACCAAUGAAGAAAUCAAAAUGUUCUUUCUGAGCACUUUGUAAAGCAUGCUGCUGAAAUGCUGAUUGUUGAAUUGCAUUGUCCAAUCUGCUCAUUGCCCAUUGUAAUAGAAAAGUAAACUGACUGGAAAUGAUCACUGAAAUGGAGAAGGGAAACUGAGGGGAAACUGCUGUUCUCUGGCUAUGACUUGAGAGAGCUGCUACAGGAACCUAAACCUGUUAUUGGUAAUGGAGGUAGAACAGAGAAAUGCUGGGGAUGCCACCACACAGGGAUACUGGUCCUCAGGGGACUUGCCUACAAGGGAAUGCCCUGGGGUUUGCCUAUUGAUCCCUACUGAUUGCUGAAAGGGUCAAACCGGCACAAUCCUCUCUGGCCUCCAUCAACGCUCUUCUCACACCACCACCAGCACUCCCCACCAUCCUCAAUGCAGAAAACCAAAAGAGAGGCCAAACUUUGGAGCUGGAGAGAAACGUUUCUAGUUGGGUGGAGCUAAGAAGCACUUCCUUCCUUCUAAGGAUACCACCAGCCUUCUAAGAAUACAUAUGCUGUCCACCCAAAGGAAUGAAUGGAUUUCCAUUCACUUAAGUGCUGGAAACCCAGCUUCAACUCCCACCAUGCUUCUGAAACUGGGCCCUCAAAGGUCACCAAUCACCCCAGCAGGCCUGCCAAAAUCCAAUCCUCAUUUCUGAGAACCCUCAAGUGGGUCACUAAGCACAAGUCCUUCCCUCCUCGGCCAUGGGAAAGCUUUCCAAGGAGCUGGAUCGGGGAGGAGCCAGGGGCUACCUAACCACUCCCGGUGCUGAAGGAAGGAGGCCCACAGGCCAUGCCACCGUCUUUCAGGGAUCAGUUUCUCACCUUAAGUCAGGGAUCUUACACAACCCGGGUUCCUCCUCCUACCUUUCUGGACACCUCUUUGGACUCCUCAAAUGCCUCCUCCUCAUCUUCCCACCCACUAAAUAGGCAAGUUGCUCCAAGUUCAAUCAUACAGCUUUUGCUACAAUUUCUCCAUCCUUCUGCUUCCACUCUAGCCUAUUUGUAGAUGGAACAUGUGCUGGGCCCUUCUGUUUGCAUGCCCUGUCCUACCCCUCGAAACCAGCUUUCUUCAGAAGAGGCUCCUAUUGACUGAGCCAAGCCUAGAGAUAGGAGGUCCUGGAUUCAGAUCAAGUCUCCAAUACUUUCUAGCUGUGUGACCCUGGGCAAGUCACUUGACCUCCAUUGCCUAGCCCUUACUGCUCUUCUGUCUUGGAACACAUACCCAGUAUUGAUGGUAAGACAAGAAGUUAAAGGUUUAAAAAAAAAAGAGGGAUCAUUUUGCUAAUUCCUCUGGCUUGGCUUCACAGUGUUUAGAGCACAAGACUUGAGAGUCAAAUAGAGCAAAGUUCAUAUCCGACCUCAGACACUGGCUCUGUGACCUUGGGAAAGUCACUCCACCUCUGCCUCACUUUCCUCAUCUAUAAAUUGGGGGCAAUAAUAGCCUUCACUUUCCAAGGUUGUUGUAAGGAUCAAGUAAGGCAAUAAAUAUAUUUGUAAAGUG